Molecule: ribosomal RNA, 465 nt
Filed under: uncultured bacterium
Lineage: Bacteria
Description: partial 16S ribosomal RNA
Rfam family: Bacterial small subunit ribosomal RNA
Source: RNAcentral
GACGAACGCUGGCGGCGUGCUUAACACAUGCAAGUCGAACGGAAAGGCCCUGCUUGCAGGGUACUCGAGUGGCGAACGGGUGAGUAACACGUGGGUGAUCUGCCCUGCACUUCGGGAUAAGCCUGGGAAACUGGGUCUAAUACCGGAUAGGAGCCAUUUAUAGUGUGAUGGUUGGAAAGUUUUUUCGGUGUAGGAUGAGCUCGCGGCCUAUCAGCUUGUUGGUGGGGUAAUGGCCUACCAAGGCGGCGACGGGUAGCCGGCCUGAGAGGGUGGACGGCCACAUUGGGACUGAGAUACGGCCCAGACUCCGAAGGGAGGCAGCAGUGGGGAAUAUUGCACAAUGGGCGCAAGCCUGAUGCAGCGAGGCCGCGUGGGGGAUGACGGCCUUCGGGUUGUAAACUCCUUUCGCUAGGGACGAAGCUUUUUGUGACGGUACCUAGAUAAGAAGCACCGGCUAACUACGUG